AAAGAGUAUAUUUUUAUAUAGCCUAUGAACAUAACAUUACAUUUUACAUUCCACCACCAAGUGCUAACUCAUAGCCCUUCUAGUAAUUUAAUAGGAUCUCUAUGUCAUAAACUGUCAAGCUUCCAGAAAUGGCAGCCAUAUUGGUCGGAGAAAUCCAACCCAGUCUAACUGGAAUGAAUGGCAGUAGAGGUACAAUCCUAAAAGUAAGGCAUAUGACAUAAGAAAUUGUGUGAUAGAAUUAUUGUCAACCUAAAAUAUUGUCAUAAUUAUAAAUUCUGUUUAUACAGGUUUCCUACACAUUUUCUGUAUAAAUAGCCUCUAAAAUAUAUGUAAACAGACCAUAAAUGCCUCCUUGGGAAGCUGUGAGUUAUAUUAUAUGAUACAAUAUCAGUAGGCUAUUUGUUGCAUUUACAACUUGUCUUAGUCCUAUCAUCAACUGAUUUCAGCCAGUGAAUGGCUGUGGGAUGUUGGCAUAUUGGCAGUUAAUUUGAGGGGGAAAUCAUUCUGCUAAAACUGGCUGGCUAGCUAGCUAACAAACACAGUGCAGAUCAAUUCUUCAAAUUAUUUUAUGUUUUUACACUGUCUUAUCACUUCACUGGCAAACCAUGGUUGACCAACUUCCUGACAAAAAUGGCUGACCUAUAUCCCAUCAUAAGGUUCAUGGCCAUUCUAGUAUUCUAAUUAUAUGUGCCAACUGCUGUUCCACACUGUAUUAUUUUCGAAAUUGGAUUAUGUCAGUGCUACAUUUUGCUGUUGUCUUUCAUUUUGUUGUAUUUGUCCUGUUCCUUUCCUAUUUCCCCACACACAUUCUGUCACAUUUUGAGGGUGUCUUUGUCUUAUCCUUUUCUCUCCAUCAUCAUUGUUUUUAUAUCCUUUGUGUUGCAGUAAAUCAAUGUAUAAUUACUUGAAUAGCUGCAUUCCUUCUAAUUCCAACUGUGAGCAUGGAUUAUAGGAGAGGCUAAGGUAUUCAUUGUGUAAUUAUUUUAUAUAGGUCUAAUUACAGUAUUUUUAACUACAUUAAUUAUUUUAAUAAGAUAAUAUAUA
Oncorhynchus tshawytscha (Chinook salmon) is the source of this 1044-nucleotide long non-coding RNA. Lineage: Eukaryota; Metazoa; Chordata; Actinopteri; Salmoniformes; Salmonidae. The record is from Ensembl.